RNAcentral lists this ribosomal RNA (819 nucleotides) under uncultured bacterium. RNAcentral describes it as "bacterial SSU rRNA". It matches the Rfam family "Bacterial small subunit ribosomal RNA", at positions 8 to 796 of the family's 1533-position model. The record is from RNAcentral.
AGAGUUUGAUCAUGGCUCAGGAUGAACGCUAGCGACAGGCCUAACACAUGCAAGUCGAGGGGCAUCGGGACGUAGCAAUACGUUGCCGGCGACCGGCGGAUGGGUGAGUAACGCGUAUGCAACCUACCCGUAGCAGGGGGAUAGCCCGUUGAAAGACGGAUUAAUACCCCGUAACACAGGGGCUCCGCAUGGAGAUUAUUGUUAAAGGGUCAUUUCUUUUUCAGGGAUGGUCCGGCUGCGGAUGGGCAUGCGUUCCAUUAGGUAGUUGGUGUAGGUAACAGCUCACCAAGCCGACGAUGGAUAGGGGAACUGAGAGGUUGGUCCCCCACACUGGUACUGAGACACGGACCAGACUCCUACGGGAGGCAGCAGUGAGGAAUUUUGGUCAAUGGACGCAAGUCUGAACCAGCCAUGUCGCGUGAAGGAGGACGGCCUUAUGGGUUGUAAACUUCUUUACUAUGCGACUAACUAGAUUUACGAGAUAAUUCUAUAGAAUGUAGCAUAGCGAAAAGCACCGGCUAACUCCGUGCCAGCAGCCGCGGUAAUACGGAGGGUGCGAGCGUUAUUCGGAAUUACUGGGUUUAAAGGGUGCGUAGGCGGCUAAGUAAGUUGUCAUUGAAAGGCUACAGCUCAACUGUAGUAGUGGUGGCGAUACUGCUUAGCUAAGAACAUGGGAGGGGUACUUGGAAUGUGUGGUGUAGCGGUGAAAUGCGUAGAUAUCACACAGAACACCAGAGGCGAAGGCGGAGUACUAGACCAUAGUUGACGCUGAGGCACGAAAGCGUGGGGAUCAAACAGGAUUAGAUACCCUGGUAGUCC